CCCUGGUAUCUUGGUUUGCAAAAAAUUAGUAAUUUAUGAAAAUUAAUAAAUUUUGGCAGUUAACUAUAUUAUUAGAGGAGCUUGUUUUGUGAAAUAGAAUUUACUCUUUUUAUUUUAAUAUAUAUCUUUUGUAGUUUAUUCAUCUCUGUUAUUAAAUGAAAAUUGAUUUUAAUAUUUUAUUAUUUCAGGUCAAGAUGUAGCAGUGAAAUAUUGUAAAAUUAGCUACAAUUAUGAGAUAAAUAUUAUAUGGUUUGAAAUUGAUUAUUAUUAUUUGAAUUUAGUUGUAAUUUUUAUUAGAAUGUUAUUAUGAUUUAGUAUAGUUAGUGUA
Molecule: ribosomal RNA, 328 nt
Filed under: Discocyrtus longicornis
Lineage: Eukaryota; Metazoa; Arthropoda; Arachnida; Opiliones; Gonyleptidae
Description: partial 12S ribosomal RNA
Source: RNAcentral